UACGUAGGGGGCAAGCGUUGUCCGGAAUCAUUGGGCGUAAAGCGCGUGUAGGCGGUUCGAUAAGUCUGCUGUGAAAGUCGGGGGCUCAACCCUCGAAAGCCGGUGGAUACUGUCGGGCUAGAGUCCGGAAGAGGCGAGUGGAGUUCCCGGUGUAGCGGUGAAAUGCGCAGAUAUCGGGAGGAACACCAAUGGCGAAGGCAGCUCGCUGGGACGGUACUGACGCUGAGACGCGAAAGCGUGGGGAGCAAACAGGAGUUAGAA
Molecule: ribosomal RNA, 261 nt
Filed under: uncultured bacterium
Lineage: Bacteria
Description: partial 16S ribosomal RNA
Rfam family: Bacterial small subunit ribosomal RNA
Source: RNAcentral